RNAcentral lists this ribosomal RNA (696 nucleotides) under uncultured bacterium. Its description in RNAcentral is "bacterial SSU rRNA". It matches the Rfam family "Bacterial small subunit ribosomal RNA", at positions 102 to 788 of the family's 1533-position model. The record is from RNAcentral.
ACGGGUGAGUAACGCGUAGGUAACCUGCCUGGUAGCGGGGGAUAACUAUUGGAAACGAUAGCUAAUACCGCAUAAGAGUAGAUGUUGCAUGACAUUUGCUUAAAAGGUGCAAUUGCAUCACUACCAGAUGGACCUGCGUUGUAUUAGCUAGUUGGUGGGGUAACGGCUCACCAAGGCGACGAUACAUAGCCGACCUGAGAGGGUGAUCGGCCACAUUGGGACUGAGACACGGCCCAAACUCCUACGGGAGGCAGCAGUAGGGAAUCUUCCGCAAUGGACGCAAGUCUGACGGAGCAACGCCGCGUGAGUGAAGAAGGUUUUCGGAUCGUAAAACUCUGUUGUUAGAGAAGAACAAGUGCUAGAGUAACUGUUAGCACCUUGACGGUAUCUAACCAGAAAGCCACGGCUAACUACGUGCCAGCAGCCGCGGUAAUACGUAGGUGGCAAGCGUUGUCCGGAUUUAUUGGGCGUAAAGCGAGCGCAGGCGGUUCCUUAAGUCUGAUGUGAAAGCCCCCGGCUCAACCGGGGAGGGUCAUUGGAAACUGGGGAACUUGAGUGCAGAAGAGGAGAGUGGAAAUUCCAUGUGUAGCGGUGAAAUGCGUAGAUAUAUGGAGGAACACCAGUGGCGAAGGCGACUCUCUGGUCUGUAACUGAUGCUGAGCUCGAAAGCGUGGUAGCAAACAGGAUAGAUACCCU